RNAcentral lists this ribosomal RNA (760 nucleotides) under Lentilactobacillus parabuchneri. RNAcentral describes it as "bacterial SSU rRNA". It matches the Rfam family "Bacterial small subunit ribosomal RNA", at positions 48 to 764 of the family's 1533-position model. Lineage: Bacteria; Bacillati; Bacillota; Bacilli; Lactobacillales; Lactobacillaceae. The record is from RNAcentral.
CUAAUACAUGCAAGUCGAACGCGUCUUGGUUAUUGAUGUUAGAUGCUUGCAUUUAACUGAUUUAACAUUGAGACGAGUGGCGAACUGGUGAGUAACACGUGGGUAACCUGCCCUUGAAGUAGGGGAUAACACUUGGAAACAGGUGCUAAUACCGUAUAACAACCAAAACCACCUGGUUUUGGUUUAAAAGAUGGCUUCGGCUAUCACUUUAGGAUGGACCCGCGGCGUAUUAGCUUGUUGGUAAGGUAACGGCCUACCAAGGCAAUGAUACGUAGCCGACCUGAGAGGGUAAUCGGCCACAUUGGGACUGAGACACGGCCCAAACUCCUACGGGAGGCAGCAGUAGGGAAUCUUCCACAAUGGACGAAAGUCUGAUGGAGCAACGCCGCGUGAGUGAUGAAGGGUUUCGGCUCGUAAAACUCUGUUGUUGGAGAAGAACAGGUGUGAGAGUAACUGUUCACAUCUUGACGGUAUCCAACCAGAAAGCCACGGCUAACUACGUGCCAGCAGCCGCGGUAAUACGUAGGUGGCAAGCGUUGUCCGGAUUUAUUGGGCGUAAAGCGAGCGCAGGCGGUUUCUUAGGUCUGAUGUGAAAGCCUUCGGCUUAACCGGAGAAGUGCAUCGGAAACCAGGAGACUUGAGUGCAGAAGAGGACAGUGGAACUCCAUGUGUAGCGGUGAAAUGCGUAGAUAUAUGGAAGAACACCAGUGGCGAAGGCGGCUGUCUGGUCUGUAACUGACGCUGAGGCUCGAAAGCAUGG